AACCUGGUUGAUCCUGCCAGUAGUCAUAUGCUUGCCUUAAAGAUUAAGCCAUGCAAGUCUAAGUAUAAACACGUUUGUACUGUGAAACUGCAGAUGGCUCAUUAUAACAGUUACAGUUUAUUUGACGAUUGCCAGUUACACGGAUAACCGUAGUAACCUAGGGCUAAUACGUGCCUCCGACUUUGUGCGCAAAGUAUGCAUGUUAGCUCACAAACCAAUUAUGGUUGAAACAUAACAUUUGUUUGAUCGCGUUGGGUUUCCAGCGACGCGUCAUUCAAGUUUCUGCCCUAUCAGCUAGACGGUAGGGUAUUGGCCUACCGUGGCAGUGACGGGUAACGGGGGAUUUUGGUUCGAUUCCGGAGAGGCAGCCUGAGAAACGGCUACCACAUCCACGGGAGGCAGCAGGUGCGCAAAUUACCCAAUGUUGACAAAACGAGGUAGUGACAGGGCAUAACGAUAAGCGGCAGUACUGUUGCUCAUUCGGAAUGAGAACAAUUUAAAACCCUUAUCGACUAUCAAGCGGAGGGCAAGCCUGGUGCCAGCAGCCGCGGUAAUACCAGCUCCGCUAGCGUAUACUAAAGUUGUUGCUGUUAAAAAGCUCGUAGUUGGAUUUCAGCCAGCCGGCAUGGCCCGACCGUGUAUACGGCCGCGAGCCAGGGUUUCCCGCGCCGGCUCGGCUUACUUCAGCGUCUCUGGUCUGGCUAUUCGCUUAGCCGGGCCACCGAACCUGAUCCUUUACUUUGAGAAAAUUAAAGCGCUCAAAGCAGCAGCCGCCUGGAUGCAUUAGCAUGGAAUAACAAAACAAGACUUUGGCGCCAGAUUCGUCUGGAAGUUUUGUUGGUUUUGGGCUAAAGUAAUGAUUGAUAGGAACAAGUGGGGGUGCUAGUAUCGCCAGGCUAGAGGUAAAAUUCUUUGACCCUGGUGAGACUGACUUAUGCGAAAGCAUUCACCAAGUUUGUUUUCUUUAAUCAAGAACUAAAGUUGGGGGAUCGAAGACGAUCAGAUACCGUCGUAGUCCCAACCAUAAACCAUGUCGACUAAGAGUCGGGGGGGUGCUGUGAACCUCCUCGGAGCUUUGAGAGAAAUCAAAGUUUUUGGACUCAGGGGGAAGUAUGCUCGCAAGAGUGAAACUUAAAGGAAUUGACGGAGGAGCACCACAAUGCGUGGAGCCUGCGCUUAAUUUGAUUCAACACGGGGAACCUUACCAGGCCAAGACAUAGUGAGGAUGGACAGAUUGAUGUUCUUUCUUGAUUCUAUGAAUGGUGGUGCAUGGCCGUUGUUGGUUGGUGGAGUGAUCUGUCUGGUUAAUUCCGAUAACGAACGAGACCUCAGCCAUCUAACUAGCUCUCGCUUGCAAAGCGUCAGCCCCGGCUGGGUUGAGCUUCUUAGAGGGACAAUCUGCGCGCAGCAGAUGGAGGAUUGAGGCAAUAACAGGUCAGUGAUGCCCUUAUAUGCUCUGGGCUGCACGCGCGCUACAAUGGCGCUCGCAGAGAGUGCCUAGUUCGAGAGGACCCGGCAACCUCGAAUGAGCGCCCAAGUGGGGAUAGGUGAUUGCAAUUGUUCACCUUGAACAAGGAAUGCAUAGUAAACGCAAGUCAUCAACUUGCAUUGACUACGUCCCUGCCCCUUGUACACACCGCCCGUCGCUUCUACCGAUUGAAUUGCUGGGUGAAUCGGACGGAUUGGAGCUCUUUGAGGCCAAGAAGUCCCGUGAACCCAGCAAUUUAGAGGAAGGAAAAGUCGUAACAAGGUUUCCGUAGGUGAACCUGCAGAAGGAUCAA
This 1781-nucleotide ribosomal RNA is filed under the name Minchinia teredinis. RNAcentral describes it as "SSU rRNA". It matches the Rfam family "Eukaryotic small subunit ribosomal RNA". Lineage: Eukaryota; Endomyxa; Ascetosporea; Haplosporida; Haplosporidiidae. The record is from RNAcentral.